AGCUUUGUGCAGUGGCAGUAUAGUAGCCAAUGAGGUUUAUCCGAGGCGCGAUUAUUGUUAAUUGAAAGUGGCUGCUGAAGCUCCAGCUUUCACUUCUGCAUUCCAGCCUGAAGAAAGUUGAUCUGUUCUCCCUCAAGAAGG
Non-coding RNA from Mustela putorius furo (domestic ferret), 141 nucleotides. The record is from Rfam. NCBI's taxonomy places the organism in Eukaryota, Metazoa, Chordata, Mammalia, Carnivora, Mustelidae.